GGCAACCUGGGUUCCGGAAGCCGGAGAGCUGGAGCUUUGAAGCCACCCCGGUCAAAGGAUGCUGAGUCCGGAGCGCCUAGCCCUACCGGACUACGAGUAUCUGGUUUUAACAGUGUAUGCCAGGGAACACACAUUCUCUUUCGAGAAUUCAGCUUCGUCCAAGCCACCCCCCACAAUAGGGUAUCAUUUUUACGGGCCUUCUGGAGAUGCUUCCGAACUGUGGGCAAAAAUGGCGAUUUGCUGACCAUGAAAGAAUAUCACUGUUUGCUGCAAUUACUGUGUCCUGAUUUCCCGCUGGAGCUCACUCAGAAAGCAGCCAGGAUUGUGCUCAUGGAUGAUGCCAUGGACUGCUUGAUGUCUUUUUCAGAUUUCCUCUUUGCCUUCCAGAUCCAGUUUUACUACUCAGCUGCCCACCCCCAGCACUUGUCAAAGAGGCUCUUAGCAAUGUUCAGAGACUGACCUUCUAUGGAUUCCUCAUGGCUCUCUCAAAGCACCAUGGAAUCAACCAAGCCCUCGGAGCUUUGCCUGACAAGGGGGAUCUGAUGCACGACCCAGCAAUGGACGAAGAGCUGGAACGGCUGUAAGUGUCAAGU
RNAcentral lists this small RNA (593 nucleotides) under Pongo abelii (Sumatran orangutan). Its description in RNAcentral is "processed transcript". Lineage: Eukaryota; Metazoa; Chordata; Mammalia; Primates; Hominidae. The record is from RNAcentral.